GGCAGAACCUAUUGUUCAGGGGCUUCCUGGUUGGGCCAUUGCAUUGUUAGUGCUAGCGUGCAUCAUCAUCCUGCUUCUCCUCAUCAUCAUGCUACUGUUAUGCUGUUGGUGCUGUAGGAGAAAAGAAAAAAAGGAAGAAACACAAACCGUAACGCCGUAUGAGAGAACGUCUUUCAAAGAACAUCUCGCCAAUCCCACAUAUAUGUCAAACACACCUGAGAAGAGCCCCAACUACCGGAACAUGGGAGAACCGGAAGCACAACAUGGCAACCAAUCCGGGAUCUACAUGAACCAUCAGAGAUGAAAACCACAACAGCACUGUAAGAGAGAGGCAUGGAGUAACUGAUGCCAUGAAGAGUCAGGAUGGAAAAGCGGUUUCUCUCAUAGAUGCUGGGUUCUUCAGCAAGUUUCUAAACAUGUGGCAUCAUUACCAUCUCUAAUAGAAGUAUUAUACUCAACUGAAUAGAAAACUAUUUAUUUCUGUACUAUUUAUGAAGCACAGAUAUGGGAUUUGGGUCUGUGAACUUUUGCAUCUCUUACUCUAUUUCAGUGGAACAUCAUAAGACCGGGGCUAGUUGUCACACUUAAUACUCCACUAAAUAUUGACCAGGUUAGGUUUCAACUGUCCUACAGUCAUACAAUCAAUCAAGUGUGCAUGGUGAUUAGUGGCGUGUUUGUGAAAUUUAACCAGUAAAACACAUUUAACACAAAAUCGUUCAUAAAACUGUGACAAAGGUUAAACAAUCAAUACAUGCUAAAUAUGAAAACAAAGUUUGCAAUUGCAAUUAAUAAACUGUACCAACUAAAUUACAUGUCAAUACUUCCCUGUGUGACAUCUUGCCCCGGUGGCUUUUACAGUAUAUCUUAGGCUACAGAAGGAGAGUAGAUCUCUUGAAUUUAAAGAUUUUAUGUUUGAUACUUUAUGUGGGGUUUUGGUAUCUCCAGAUUACAAGUUUAUCAAUUCAUAAAUGUCUUUUCAUUUGAAAUUCGAGUUAUCUGUAUGGUCAUAUACACUUAUUUACACUUUCUGUGGGAAGAACUGUUGUCUUCAAUGCACAAUACUUCAGCAAAACAAUAUAUUAUCAAUUACAUUAUAAAUAAAGUUCAUACAAUACAUGAUGAAAUUAUGUCUUAUUUAUUCGUUAAUUUCAUCUGAAUAUCAGCAUUCAUGAAAUGUAGUCCGGCGAAACAGUUUUGAGGUUAAUUAAUCUAAUUUUGUGUUUCUGGGAAAGUAGUGAUCUGUGAUGUUGAAUAUCAAUACUUUUUUGUCUAUUUGACACA
Long non-coding RNA from Carassius gibelio (silver crucian carp), 1281 nucleotides. RefSeq lists it as uncharacterized. The record is from RefSeq and is a predicted model, not a curated record. The transcript is spliced from 4 exons. NCBI's taxonomy places the organism in Eukaryota, Metazoa, Chordata, Actinopteri, Cypriniformes, Cyprinidae.